This 73-nucleotide transfer RNA is filed under the name Phyllopsora corallina. RNAcentral's name for it is "tRNA-Met". It matches the Rfam family "tRNA". Rfam says of the family: Transfer RNA (tRNA) molecules are approximately 80 nucleotides in length. Lineage: Eukaryota; Fungi; Ascomycota; Lecanoromycetes; Lecanorales; Ramalinaceae. The record is from RNAcentral.
GCUAGGAUAGUUCAAUUGGUCAGAACAUUAAUUUCAUGCGUUAAGAAUGAGAAUUCGAUUUUCUCUCCUGGCU